UACGUAGGGAGCAAGCGUUGUUCGGAUUUACUGGGCGUAAAGGGCGCGUAGGCGGCGCGGUAAGUCGGGUGUGAAAUCUCGGAGCUUAACUCCGAAACUGCAUUCGAUACUGCCGUGCUUGAGGACUGGAGAGGAGACUGGAAUUUACGGUGUAGCGGUGAAAUGCGUAGAUAUCGUAAGGAAGACCAGUGGCGAAGGCGGGUCUCUGGACAGUUCCUGACGCUGAGGCACGAAGGUCAGGGGAGCAAACGGG
This 253-nucleotide ribosomal RNA is filed under the name uncultured bacterium. RNAcentral's name for it is "partial 16S ribosomal RNA". It matches the Rfam family "Bacterial small subunit ribosomal RNA", at positions 524 to 776 of the family's 1533-position model. The record is from RNAcentral.